AGGACGAACGCUGGCGGCGUGCCUAAUACAUGCAAGUCGAACGGUCUUUCUAUGGAAGCUUGCUUCCACUGAGAAGAUAGUGGCGAACGGGUGAGUAACACGUGGGUAACCUGCCCAUAAGAGGGGGGAUAACAUCCGGAAACGGGUGCUAAUACCGCAUAGUUUUCUUGAUCGCAUGAUUGGGAAAGGAAAGACGGCCUUUGUGCUGUCGCUUAUGGAUGGACCCGCGGCGUAUUAGUUAGUUGGUGAGGUAACGGCUCACCAAGACGAUGAUACGUAGCCGACCUGAGAGGGUGAUCGGCCACAUUGGGACUGAGACACGGCCCAAACUCCUACGGGAGGCAGCAGUAGGGAAUCUUCCGCAAUGGACGAAAGUCUGACGGAGCAACGCCGCGUGAGUGAAGAAAGGUUUUCGGAUCGUAAAACUCUGUUGUCAGAGAAGAACAAGUUGGAGAGUAACUGCUCCAGCCUUGACGGUAUCUGACCAGAAAGCCACGGCUAACUACGUGCCAGCAGCCGC
This 520-nucleotide ribosomal RNA is filed under the name uncultured bacterium. RNAcentral describes it as "bacterial SSU rRNA". It matches the Rfam family "Bacterial small subunit ribosomal RNA", at positions 26 to 518 of the family's 1533-position model. The record is from RNAcentral.